RNAcentral lists this ribosomal RNA (639 nucleotides) under uncultured bacterium. RNAcentral's name for it is "bacterial SSU rRNA". It matches the Rfam family "Bacterial small subunit ribosomal RNA", at positions 1 to 697 of the family's 1533-position model. The record is from RNAcentral.
AUAUAUUGGGGACGUCCNGCUGGCCGGCACGCCUAACACAUGACAAGUCGAACGCAGUAGCAAUACUGAGUGGCAAACUGGUGAGUAUAAUGUGGGNAUCUGCCUUUUGGUUUGGAAUAACACGGGGAAACUUGUGCUAAUACCGAAUAAGCCUUUACAGGGAAAGUUUUAAUGCCAAAAGAUGAGCCCGCACUUGAUUAGCUAGUUGGUAAGGUAAAAGCUUACCAAGGCAAUGAUCAAUAGCUGUUCUUAGAGGAAGACCAGCCACAUUGGGACUGAGACACGGCCCAGACUCCUACGGGAGGCAGCAGUGGGGAAUCUUGCACAAUGGGGGAAACCCUGAUGCAGCGAUGCCGCGUGAGUGAAGAAGGCCUUUGGGUUGUAAAACUCUUUCGUCGGGGAAGAAAAUGACUGUACCCGAAUAAGAAGGUCCGGCUAACUUCGUGCCAGCAGCCGCGGUAAUACGAAGGGACCUAGCGUAGUUCGGAAUUACUGGGCUUAAAGAGCUCGUAGGUGGUUAAAAAAGUUGAUGGUGAAAUCCCAAGGCUCAACCUUGGAACUGCCAUCAAAACUUUUUAGCUAGAGUGUGAUAGAGGUAAGUGGGAAUUUUCUAGUGUAGAGGUGAAAUUCCGUCGAUAU